This 324-nucleotide ribosomal RNA is filed under the name uncultured eukaryote. RNAcentral describes it as "partial 18S ribosomal RNA". It matches the Rfam family "Eukaryotic small subunit ribosomal RNA", at positions 1470 to 1796 of the family's 1831-position model. The record is from RNAcentral.
CCCUUAGAUGCUCUGGGCCGCACGCGCACUACACUGGUCGAUGCAACGAGUUUCUUUCCUUGGCCGACAGGCCUGGGUAAUCUUUGAACAUCGAUCGUGAUCGGGAUAGAUUCUUGUAAUUUUUGAUCUUAAACGAGGAAUUCCUAGUAAACGCAAGUCAUCAGCUUGCAUUGAUUACGUCCCUGCCCUUUGUACACACCGCCCGUCGCACCUACCGAUUGAAUGGUCCGGUGAAAUCUCCGGACUGACGUGAGUCGGAGCAAUCUGACAAACGCCGGAAAGUUGAUUAAACCUUACCAUUUAGAGGAAGGUGAAGUCGUAACA